This 299-nucleotide signal recognition particle RNA is filed under the name Aotus nancymaae (Ma's night monkey). RNAcentral describes it as "Metazoan signal recognition particle RNA (ENSANAG00000005131.1)". It matches the Rfam family "Metazoan signal recognition particle RNA". Rfam says of the family: The signal recognition particle (SRP) is a universally conserved ribonucleoprotein. Lineage: Eukaryota; Metazoa; Chordata; Mammalia; Primates; Aotidae. The record is from RNAcentral.
GCCGGGCGUGGUGGCACGUGCCUAGUCCCAGCUACAGGAGGCUGAAGUGGGAGGAUCGCUAGAGCCCAGGAGUUCUGGUCUAUAGUGCCCUACGCCAAUCGGAUGUCCGAACUAAGUUCAGCAUCAGUAUGGUGACCUCCUGGAAGCAGGGUACCACCAGGUUGCCUAAGGAGGGGUGAACCGGCCCAGGUCGGAAACGGAGCAGGUCACAUCUCCGGUGCUGAUCAGUAGUGGGAUCGGGCCUGUGAAUAGCCACUGCACUCCAGCCUGGGCAACAUAGCGAGCGAGACCCCAUCUCU